CCGUGCCUGUAGUUGCUGGCGGCUCCUUAGGGGGUUCGUCCAGCGCUACGUCCGGCCCAACCGUGUCUAUUUCUACCUGUUGCUUCGGCGGGCCUGCGGGCUUGCUCGCUGCCGGGAGUCCCUAAAGCUCCGGGCUCGUGCCCGCCGAAGACGCCCAGAACUACUGUUGAACUUGGCGGUCUGAGUGGUUUGAUUAAUUAUCA
Molecule: unclassified non-coding RNA, 203 nt
Filed under: uncultured Ascomycota
Lineage: Eukaryota; Fungi; Ascomycota
Description: sequence contains ITS1
Source: RNAcentral